RNAcentral lists this transfer RNA (65 nucleotides) under Scolytinae sp. BMNH 1274291. Its description in RNAcentral is "tRNA-His". The record is from RNAcentral. Lineage: Eukaryota; Metazoa; Arthropoda; Insecta; Coleoptera; Curculionidae.
AUUUAAUUAGUUUAAGAAAAAUAUCAGUUUGUGGGACUGGUGAUAUAACUAAGUUAUAUUAAAUA